UUGGAUCAUCUCAAUCCUCAUUAGAGACUCUUAUCAUCAUCCCAACAACCUAUGUGGAUGAACAAUGCAUAUGGAUUGCAUUCAAAAGUGAUCAAAUUCCAACAGAUUAGGUUACAAAAAUUAAUUAACCAGCAUAUGAUGGUAGUGGAUUCAUGGUUACCUGAUUGGUUGAUAAGAAGGAAUGCGGGUAAUGCUCGUAUCUUUUAUACAUUGUCUGUAUGGUACUAGGCUUGAAUGGGCAGUAUCUAUGGAGAGGUUUCCCAGGC
Molecule: long non-coding RNA, 266 nt
Filed under: Elaeis guineensis (African oil palm)
Lineage: Eukaryota; Viridiplantae; Streptophyta; Magnoliopsida; Arecales; Arecaceae
Description: long non-coding RNA (EGUI_LNC002230)
Source: RNAcentral